This 522-nucleotide long non-coding RNA is filed under the name Anser cygnoides (Swan goose). RNAcentral's name for it is "lncRNA (ENSACDG00005010671.1)". The record is from RNAcentral. Lineage: Eukaryota; Metazoa; Chordata; Aves; Anseriformes; Anatidae.
AUGAUUUUCAAUGAUCUGAUCUUGUCUUAUAGACAGCACAUCUGGAACUCCCAAUUAGAGUCCUGUCAUAUAAUGCUUUGUUACCCCUUACUUUUAAUUUGCUUCCUCCAUACUUGUAACAAUAUGAUGCAAACAUUAUUUUUCUUUCUCAAGCCUCCAUUUAAAUCAGAGCCUAGUACUUGGAGAGAGCUAAUCCCAGAAGGCAGAUUGAUGUUGACACUUGGUGUUUUGUUCUGCUCUCCAGCAACUCUGAAGAAAGAGAAACAGUUUGAAUUUGCUGAAACCUUUCUGCAGCCCUUGAAUUGUGGAGCAAUUACCCUGACAGUUGUUUGCGUAGGAACAAGCACGGUGACAGCACAGCAAGCCUGUGAAACAAGCCCAGCACAGGACUCAGGGUGUUCUGCCAAAGGUCAUAGCCCGAGCGUUCAGAAAUGUCAAGUAGGACAUGGCAGUCCCUUGAUUCCAAGCAGCUCCAUGCUUGGUCCACACCCUUCUCAGGGGUCCCGCUGCCUGAUGAAGUGA